ACAGGUUUAAGUUAAGUUUAAACUAUUGGUUUUCAAAACCAAAAAUUUAUAUCUGUU
RNAcentral lists this transfer RNA (57 nucleotides) under Strongyloides cebus. Its description in RNAcentral is "tRNA-Trp". Lineage: Eukaryota; Metazoa; Nematoda; Chromadorea; Rhabditida; Strongyloididae. The record is from RNAcentral.